UCUAUGAUUGUGAACACUCACUAAACUAUUGCAUGCCUAGAAGUAGAUGUUGGACAAGGAAGACAACAUAAUGAAUUGUGUUUGCUUGGCUCUGAACAAUGUUAUAUGAUUAGAGAUCCCUUAGCAUGUGACGAUUGCUUCCACCUCAUAUUAGCCAAAACUUCCGCACCAAGUAGAGAUACUACUUGUGCAUCCAUAAACCUUCAAACCAGUUUUGCCAUGAGUGUCCACCAUACCUACCUAUGGAUUGAAUAAGAUCCCUCAAGUAAGUUGUCAUCAGUGCAAGCAAUAAAAAUUUCUCUCUAAUAUGUACGAUCCAUUAGUGUGUGGAAAAUAAGCUUUAUACGAACCUAUGAUGAGGAAGACAUAAAAGCGACAGACUGCAUAAUAAAGUUCUUUAUAACAGGAGGCAAUAUAAAGUGAUGUUCCACCGCACUAAGAGGACACGCAUCCAAACCUCAAAAGCGCAUGACAACCUCUGCUUCCCUCUACGAAGGGCCUAUCUUGUACCUUUACUUUUUGCCCUUGAAAGAGUCAUGGUCAUCUUCACCAAUUCCUUAUUUUGCCUUUGUCUUGGCUACCGUCAUAUGCUUGGGAAAGAUCUAUAUUCAUAUGUCAACUUGGAGGUAGGCAUUCAUGAAUUAUUAUUGUUGACAUUACCCUUGAGGUAAGCAGUUGGGAGGCAAAACUAUAAGCCCCUAUCUUUCUCUGUGUUCAGUUGAAACUUUGAUCUCAUGAGUACCACGUGAGUUGUAGCAAUUGUAGAGAACGAAAGAAUGAUUGAGUAUGUGGAUUUGCUUUACAAGCACUUACUUGACUCUUUCUGAUGUUGUGAUAAAUUGCAAUUGCUUCAAUGACUAAAGGAUAUCGGUUGUUACUUCUCGGUAAGGUUCUUGAUCCAUGCUUUACUUUGUGAAGGAAUUAUCACAUUAGCAUGAGAGAUUAUAUGUUGGUAUGCUGUUCUGAUCAUGAUCAUGAUGCAUGCAUGUUCGUAUCUUGUUUUGUCGACACCUCUCUCCCUAAACAUGUGGACAUAUUUAUUGAGCUCGGCUUUCGCUUGAGGACAAGCGAGGUCUAAGCUUGGGGAGUUGAUACGUCCAUUUUGUAUCAUGUUUUCAGGUUGAUAUUUAUCGCUUCUUUGGCUGUUAUUUCACUUCACGGUACUAUUCUUAUGCCUUUUCUCUCUUAUUUUGCAAGGCUUACAUGAAGAGGGAGAAUACCGGCAACUGGAAUUCUGGACUAAAAGUGGAGCAAAGUUGAGAUACCUAUUCUGCACAACUCCAAACGCCGUGAAAAUCAAUGGAGAUUUUUUCCGAAUAUAUAAAAAAUACUGGGCCGAAGAAGUACCGGAGGAGGGCCAAGGGGUGGCCACAAGCCUGCACGGCGCGGCCACCCCCCAGGCCGCGCCAUGGGGGCUUGUGGCCACCCUGUUGGCCCACUUGCCCCCCUCUUUUGCUAUAUGGAGGGUUUCGUCCAGGAAAAAAUCAGAAGGAAGCAUUUUCGUGGUUUCGCCGCCGCCACGAGGCGGAAUUUGAGACGAACCAAUCUAGAGCUCNNNNNNNNNNNNNNNNNNNNNNNNNNNNNNNNNNNNNNNNNNNNNNNNNNNNNNNNNNNNNNNNNNNNNNNNNNNNNNNNNNNNNNNNNNNNNNNNNNNNGGGACCAUCGGGAGGGGUGUCACGCCCCAAGGGGUCUCAUGGGCUAUGGGAAGAGAUAAACCAGCCCCUAGUGGGCUGGAAUAAGUUCCCACUAAGGCCCAUAAGGUUUGAGAAGGAAAAAACACAAGGUGGAAAGAGUUUCCAAGUGGGAAGGUGGAAUCCUACUCCAAGUAGGAUUGGAGUAGGACUCCUCCACCUCCAAUUUCGGCCAAACCUUNNNNNNNNNNNNNNNNNNNNNNNNNNNNNNNNNNNNNNNNNGUUCUCGAACCCGCAGGGUCUGCACACUUAAGGUUCGACGUUGUUUUAUGCGUAUUUGAGUUAUAUGGUUGGUUACCGAAUGUUGUUCGGAGUCCCGGAUGACAUCCAGGACGUCACGAGGAGCUCCGGAAUGGUCCGGAGGUAAAGAUUGAUAUAUAGGAAGUCCUGUUUUGGUCACCGGAAAAGUUUCGGCCUCAUCGGUAGUGUACCGGNNNNNNNNNNNNNNNNNNNNNNNNNNNNNNNNNNNNNNNNNNNNNNNNNAAAUAGGUAUGCGGAUACUCACGAUCGAAUCUCGGGCAAGUAACAUACCGAAGGACAAGGGGAAUGACAUACGGGAUUAUAUGAAUCCUUGGCACUGAGGUUCAAAUGAUAAGAUCUUCGUAGAAUAUGUAGGAUCCAAUAUGGGCAUCCAGGUCCCGCUAUUGGAUAUUGACCGAGGAGUCUCUCGGGUCAUGUCUACAUAGUUCNNNNNNNNNNNNNNNNNNNNNNNNNNNNNNNNNNNNNNNNNNNNNNNNNNNNNNNNNNNNNNNNNNNNNNNNNNNNNNNNNNNNNNNNNNNNNNNNNNNNAUCACUUCAACCAGUGUGUGGCAGGGCGCAGGAAGUUGUUCAUGUGGCGCCUACACCAAUUGAAGUGGAAGCUGAUGAUGAUGAUCACUGAGCUUCGAAUCAAGUUACUACAAACCUCGUAGGUUGACAAGGUCGCGUACUGCUGCAGAGUAGUACGGUAACCCUUCUUGGAGGUCAUGUUGUUGAGCAACAGUGAACCUACGAGUUAUGGAGAAAGCGAUGGUGGGCCCAGAUUCCGACAAAUGGCUAGAAGCCAUGAAAUCCGAGAGAGGAUCCAUGUGUGAAAACAAAGUGUUGACUUUGGUAGAACUACUUGAUGGUCAUAGGACUAUUGAGUAAAAAUGGAUCUUUAAAAGAAGACACACGAUGAUGGUGAUAAGUCACUAUUAAGAAAAGCUCGACUUGUCGCAAAGAUGUUUUCGAUAAGAUCAAACAGUUGACUAUGAUGAGACUUUCUCACUCGUAGCGAUGCUAAAAGUCUGUUAGAAUUAUGUUAGUUGUUGAUGCAUUAUUUAUGAAAUAUUGCAUGUAGGAUGUCAAAACAUUGNNNNNNNNNNNNNNNNNNNNNNNNNNNNNNNNNNNNNNNNNNNNNNNNNNNNNNNNNNNNNNNNNNNNNNNNNNNNNNNNNNNNNNNNNNNNNNNNNNNNACGUAGAUCACUCAUCCCCUCUCGUAGAUGGACAUCACCAUGAUAGGUCUUCGUGCGCGUAGGAAAUUUUUGUUUCCCAUGCGACGUUCCCCAACACUUCUCCCCACGCUGGAAGCAGAGCUUUACGGUGUAGCGGAGCUUGUCUCCCAUCGGGGAAGUGAGCAGGACACCAGCCUCUUCUCCUCUUCGCGUGAAGGCUCCAUCGAAGUGCAUGGUCCAUCCCUCGAUUGCCUCCACACCGGGGGCAAGGUAUUGGCUCCCUUCCAGCCCCCGGUCCAGUGUGUCCGUCCACUUCGCCAUGAAGUCAUCCAUGGCUGCUCCCUUGAUGACCCUGGUCAUGCUGAAUUCGAUGUUGAAGGCCUGAAGCUCGAUGUUCCAUUCGGCGACCCUUACCGCCGCGUUUGGGUUGUGCAAGCCCGCUCGCCGAGCUUGGAGAUGAAACUCCCCAAGGAGGUAACACACCCCACCAGUUUCUGCAUCUCCUUGAAGGUUGUGGGCGUGCUCAUCUUGUUUAUGGCAUUGACCUUCACUGGGUUUGCCUUGAUCCCCCGGUAUGACACCAGGAAACCAAGCAGCUUGCCCGAUGGGACCCCGAAGACGCACUUCUCGGGGUUGAGCUUCAGGUUCACCUCUCGAAGGCUCGCGAAGGUCUCCUCCAGGUCCUCCACAAGGGUUUUUGCAUGUGUUGACUUGACCACGAUGUCGUCGACGUAGGCCUCUACAUUCCUCCCGAGCUGCGGUCCUAGGGCGAUAUAAAUCAGCCGCUGGAAGGUUACCCCGGCGUUCCGCAGCCUGAAGGGCAUGCACUCGUAGCAAGUAUACACCACACGGAGAGAGGAAGGCUGUCUUCUCGACGUCCUCCACUGCCAUAUUGAUCUGGUGGUAGCCCGAGAAUGCAUCCAUGAAGCACAGGAGAUCGCACUCCACAGUGGAGUCCAUGAUUUGGUCGAUGUGUGGUAGGGGGAACGGGUCCUGAGGGCAAGCCUUGUUGAGGUUCGUGAAGUCGACACACAAGCGCUCCUUUCCACACUUCUUCGGGACAACCACCGGGUUGGCCACCCAUUCUGGGUAGCGCACCCUCUUGAAUGAUCCCUGCCUCCUUCAGUUUGCGCACGUCCUGAGUGAUGAACGCCUUCUUUUUCGGGGCUUGCCUCGUUGCCUUCUGCUUCACUGGGCACGCGUUCAGGCACACCAUGAGGUGGUGCUCAAUGACGUCCCUCGGGACCCCCACCAGGUCGAAGGUGCUCCAGGCGAACGCGUCCUUGUUCUCCCCGAGGAAACCCACCAAUGAUGUCUCUUGGUCUUGAGGGAGAUUUGUGCCCAUGGUGAAGGUGGGAGCCGAGCUUCCUUCAUUCACCAGAACUUGCUUCGUCUCCGCCCGGUCCUGGGAGAACAACUGCUUCUUCUUCAUGGGUGCGAUGUCGUGGGCGUCCCCUGGGUCCUCCACGACGCGUGCCUCGCCCAUGAGGUUGGUACGCACCAUGGCCGCGGCCUUGUGGGAGAGAUCGAGCACCAGUGAGGCAUACUUGAUGUCCCCCAUGACGGUGAGCACGCCGCCGCUCCCGGGAAUCUUGACGAUGUUGUAGCCUGGGUGCGUUGCUGCCAUGAACUGCGCGAGGGCGGGGUAGCCGAGUAUUGUGUUGUAUGGAAGGUGGAUGUGGGCGACAUCAAAGUCGAUAUGCUCGGUAUGGAAGUUGGAGCGGGUGCCGAAGGUGACGGGGAGGCGAAUUCGUCCCAUAAGGGCAGCAGAUCCUGCCACCACCCCAGAGAAGGGCUUUGAGGGCGCAAGCCGCUCCCGGGGCAAUCGCGGCGCAUCGAAGGCCUCCACUGAGAUGACAUUGAGGCCCACACCACCGACGAUGAGGAUCUUGGAGACGGCCACGCCGGAUCUGGUCAGUGUGCACAACAUGGGAAGUGUCCCGGCGGCCGUCGUGGAGUUGGGGUGACUGUCGGGGCCGAAGGUGAUGUUGACCUUCGGUCAUACGCGGUGUUUUGCAGGCUCGGCCCUUGGAUGAGCCCCCCCCCCCGACGCGCUGUAGGAAACGAUUGACGUGACGGCCGGGAGGUGGCGCCUGUAAUCCACCGAGGAUGCAGGCAACAGCAGGGGCGGCCCUGCUCGCCCAGGCGCGCCCACCGCCGAGGACCGGUGACUGACGGUGGUCGCGCUUGGCAUGGAGUUGCCGAGUUGAGAUCUGGGUCUUGCUGUUAGCGUGGGGGCUCCGACGCGCACCACCUACCUGGCCCGCCAAAUGUCGGAUUUCGGGCUCUGCAAAACCCUAAAGAUUCGUAACCAGGGGUGCGCAGGGAGACCACUUGGCAGCUUCGGUUGACCCGACUCGCUACUCGAUGGACAAGGCAAAGAACUCACUCGACGGUGAGGAAGACACAAAAAACGAUAGUUUACCCAGGUUCGGGCCGCUGGGAAGCGUAAUACCCUACUCCUGCUUUUGUGGAUUGCCUCUCAUUGAGGUUGGUGGAUGGACUAGUACAAUGCUCGUGCGCCUCCAGAGGCUGGGUGGCGGUGUGUGAUGCUAGUGGGUGAAUGAAUGGAUCUCCCUUUCUACGGAGCAACCUAUCCUCUAUAUAUAGUGGCGGCCCGUGUUCUCUUCCCUUAUCAUUUCGGUGGGAAGGGAUCCCACAAUGGACAAUUUUGAAUGGGAACACGGGAACAUGCUCCCCUGUCCAAAGGUGGUCUUUGCCUGCAAAGUCAUUGUGUGCGCUGCAGGGACGGGCCCGAGAAUGACGUCUGCCCUGCUGGCGGGCGGCGACAGCCUUGUUGCACCAGAAAGGAAACCUUUGGAAGAUGCCUUGGGAACCCCGGUAUGUCCUUGCCCCCUUUGCACUAAAGGGGAAACUGCAUCGUCCCGCUGUCUGCUGCUCGCCUGUCCUUCCCAUAUGUCAUCCUUGACUCCUGAGGCCGAUCCUCGCCUCGGAAUAUCCGCCGUUCUGGAGGGGUCCGGAGGAGCCCCCCUGGAGGUCUUGAUACUGCUCCUCCUUGCGAGGCUUGGCCCCUCGCAAGGCCCUUGUCUCGAGCGGUGCGAGGCCCGCUGGUUUGUGGUUAAUGAAGUGGGCCAGCCCUGUGCCGCAGGCAGGCAGGUCUAGGUACCCCCAUUCCCAGAACACCGACAACAUCAACUCCAUUGCCCCUCCGAUGAUGUGUGAGUAGUUCACCACAGACCUACAACUCCAUAACUAGUAGCUAGAUGGCUUCUUCUCUCUCUUUGAUCUUCAAUACCAUGUUAUCCAUGAUCUUCAUGGAGAUCUAUUGGUUGUAAUACUCUUUUGUGGUGUAUUUGUUGAGAUCUGAUGAAUUGUGAGUUUAUGUUCACAUUAUCCAUGAAUAUUAUUUGAGUCUCUUCUGAAUUCUUAUAUGCAUGAUUUCAUAUCUUUGCAAGUCUCUUCGAAUUAUUUGUUUGGUUUGGCCAACUAUAUUGGUAACUCUUGCAAUGGGAGAAGUGCUUAGUUUUGGGUUCAAUCUUGCGGUGUCCUCAUCUAGUGAUAGUAGGGGUAGCGAGGCACAUACUGUAUUGUUUCCAUCAAGGAUAAAAAGAUGGGAAAAGUAGGGGUAGCGAGGCACAUCAUUGCUUGAGUUUAUCCCUCUACAUCAUGUCAUCUUACUUAAUGGGUUACUCUGUUCUUCAUGAACUUAAUACUCUAGAUGCAGGUAGGAGUCGGUCGAUGUGUGGAGUAAUAGUAGUAGAUGCAAAAUCGUUUCGGUCUACUUGACACGGACGUGAUGCCUAUAUGCAUAACCAUUGCCUAGGAUAUCUUCAUAAUUAUUUGCUUUUCUAUCAAUUGCUCGACAGUAAUUUGUUCACCCACCGUAUUAUUUUCCUUUAUGAGAGAAGCCUCUAGUGAAACCUAUGGCCCUCGGGUCUAUUUUCCAUAUUAUAUUUCAGAUCUAUAAACCAAAAUUAACAAAAAUACUUUUCUGCAAUUUGUUUACUUUAGUUUUACUUUUAGAUCUAUUAGUAUUUUAUAUCUAUCUCUAUCAGAUCUCAUCCUUGCAAAUAACUCUCAAGGGAUUGACAACACCUUUAUAGCGUUGGGUGCAAGUGUUUGAUUAUUUGUGUAGGUAAUACUAUUGGAGCCUUGUUUGUUCCUCCUACUGGAUUGAUACCUUGGUUCUCAACAAACCGAGGGAAAUACUUAUCUACUUCGAUGCGUCACCCUUUCCUCUUCAAGGGAAAACCAACGCAAGCUCAAGAGGUAGCAAUCACUAAGGGGCACUAAAUGCACUUACAAUCUCCCCCUUUUUGGUGGUUGAUGACAAUCAGGUUAAGUUUUCAACGGGGAUAAAAAUAUGAAGUUUAAGCACAAAGUUUGAGGAAUUUGAUUGCAAGAUAUAGAGAAACUCCCCCUGAAGAUGUGCAUGCUUGAGGAAUUUUCUUUGGACUGCAAAUGCACAUUGCUGAUUUAUAUCAUGGAGAUCCCCCCCUAUAUCUUGUAAUGCAUGCAUGGAUUUAACACAUAGUAUGAGGAAUUUGAAAUGCAUGAUUAAAAAUGGUGUAUGAUGAAUUUGGCAUGUAUGCAAUUAAACAACUUGAGGAAUAAACAUGCGAGGAAAAACGAUGAAAAGCGUCAGACCGCUAGUGGGCUUAAGUUAAAACUCAUUACAACAAAAGCUUCACAAGAACGAGAGUUUGUAACUUAAUAAAGUUUAUAAUAGCCCAUAAGUAGACCCGCUUGAAGAGUAACUCAGAUUUCUCCGCCUUUGUCAUCAAGUGACGAAAAGGGACAAAAACUGAGGACUAACGCCCUUGAAGAAUGUCACUUCUGAGUCGGUGGAGGUGCGUUGGGGUCGGCCGUUGCAGGAGUGUCGUCAAUGUCUUCAGCUUCAUUGGUUGUGUGGGUUGAAGAAAAUGAGUUAGCCACUAGUUGAGAAACAUGGAUCUUCUUAAACUUCUUCUUCGAAGUCCAGGACUAGUCAAAGUCUCGCUGGAAAUCCAUCUCUACAAGUUCCUCAGGAGUCUUGUGGUGAGACAGAAUAGCCCAUGUGCGAUCAAAAAUGUCAUGCUGGUAGUAGUGAUUUUUCUUAGCUGCAUUCCUGGUUGCAUUGAGGUCUUUCAAAAUUUCUCCAACCUGGUGCUUGAUCCAUUUGUGGUUGCGAUCAACCUUUUGAUUAAGACUUAGCAGUAGCUCACGGUCAAUCAUCACGCACGGUGCAGUUGGGCUUGGUGGUUCUUGGGAUAGAGUGUCAACAUUGGUAGAAUAUGACGCUGGUUUGCGAAAUUGUCCAUCAAGGGGCCCGGUGCCUUCAUCAAUCACUGAUUUUCCUUUGCCUUCAAUUUCAUCAAAGGAGAUUUUGACGACUUCAAUUGGAGGCAGAUAAGAUUGAUGAUUCAGAAUGUCAGCUUUGUAUGGAAUACCUGGCCUCUUUCUAAUGAAUUUCAUAAUCCAUGGAGUGUAAGGCUUCAAAUCAAGUGGUGAGAGAGCAGAGUGGGACAAUGUUCUCACGAAGAAAUCAUGAAGAUUUAUGGGGAUUCCAUGUAUGACGUUAUAGAGAAAAUUAUUCAUGAUGCCCGCUAUUUCUUCAUCAUUUGAAUCAUGACCCUUGAUUGUACAGAAAGUCUUGGCUAAGAUGCGAUAGACUGUCCUUGGCACAUAGAUUAAUUCCUUUGUGAGGAAUUUGGUUCUUGGUGACUGACCAGGUGCCAAUGGCUUCAUGAGGACUUGCAUAUAGUGAGCUCCUAGUUCAGGUUCAUCAUAUAUGCAUCUGGCUCCAUCUGAGGGUAAUGGCACAGGAAGAGCCUGAAGCAAUUCCUUUGCACGGGCUUUGAAGUGUGUGUCAUGUGUCAUCCAGUCCAUAAUCCAUGUGUUGGCAUCUUGAGGAUCUCUUGACGGGUGCAGUGUAGCAUAGAACUGAAGAAUUAUUUCCUCAUUCCAGUCACAGAUUUUUGUGCAGAAUUGCAACAUGCCAGAAUCAUGAAGAAUUUUCAGGACUGGUUCAUAUGAGGGAAUUUCCUCCAUAUCUCGAUGAGGAAUAUGCAUGUGAGGAAAGAACCUUUCUCUCUCAAAGAGCACAACACUGUAGUAGUUCAUCUGAUUUGAGUCCAAAAUCUGAUGUGUUUGUACUGAGGAGAUUCAUAUGGACUGGGGCCAACGAAGUAAUGACGUUCAUCAAAUAAUUGAGCCCUGUCAAACUUUGGCCUUUUUUAUUUGUAGGGCUUGAUUCCCUUUGGCUGAAGAUUUGGCUUGAAGCAGCUUCCAAGUCUUCGUGUAUUGCCUGCUUGAGGAAUUUGAACCACCACAACUGUUGUCUCAGUAUUUCCAACAUGUGGUUCACCAACAUAUUCUUCAUUUUGUAUCGGACUAGAUCCUUCAUGCACAUGUUCUUCACUCUGAGUAAUAUGCUGAGUCAUUAUGUCAGUUGCGGGCACAACAGUUCCUUCAAUAUUUCCAUUUUCAUCAGCUAAUGCAGUUGAUUCCAUAGCAAGUGCAAACUUGGCUGGAGUGCUCUCUUUUUUCAUAGCCAGUCAAAACUUCAGUGGCAGCAGGGGAUUCAGGGAUUUGAGGAAUUGGAGGGACCAAUGGUGAAUUUGGAUGAGUUUGUUCCCAAAAGUCAUCAUGGAUCACUAGUGUGUUGCAGCCAAUGUCCACAUCGUCCUCCUUUUCUUCAGCAGUCAUCUCAGGGUUCCGAGGAGGAGUUGAGGCUUGAAGAAUGUCAUCAGCUUGAAUUUCCUCAUCUAUGGGUGUGGGUGCAGCAGACCAAUUUUCGUCCAUUUCUCAUCCCUUUCCUGAAUGACAUGAUCUUCACCAAAGGGUAUGAACAUGUAUGACGGUGCAACACUGAGAGGAGUUGCAUCAAUUGGAGCAGAUGAUGAAGUAGGCAGAGUCUUCACGCGUUUUGCCUCUGAAGACUUUGAAGGUGUUGAUGCCUUUCUCUUCUUAGCUUCUUUCUCAGUUGCUUUGGUUUUCUUCACUUUGGAUGCAGAAGGAAGUGGGACGUUCUUCACCUUUCAAGACUUUGAUGAAGGUGCAUUUUCUUCACUGGUUGCAUAGGCAGUUGCAGGCCUGGUAGAGUCUUCAGUAGUUUCAUCAGUAGUGAUGAUUCACAAGUAUAGGGGAUCUAUCAUAGUCCUUUCGAUAAGUAAGAGUGCCGAACCCAACGAGGAGCAGAAGGAAAUGACAAGCGGUUUUCAGUAAGGUAUUCUGUGCAAGCACUGAAGUUAUCGGUAACAGAUAAUUUUGUGAUAAUGUAAUUCGUAAUGCGUAGCAAGUAACAAAUGUAACAAUGGUUCAGCAAGGUGGCCCAAUCCUUUUUGUAGCAAAGGACAUGCCUGGGCAAACUCUUAUAUAAAGAAAAGCGCUCCCGAGGACACAUGGGAAUUUAUGUCAAGCUAGUUUUCAUCAUGCUCAUAUGAUUCGUGUUCGUUACUUUGAUAAUUUGAUAUAUGGGUGGAACGGUGCUUGGGUACUUCCCUUGGACAAACAUCCCACUUAUGAUUAACCUCUCUCGCAAGCAUCCGCAACUACGAAAGAAGAAUUAAAAUAAAUCUAACCAUAGCAUUAAACGUAUGGAUCCAAAUCAGCCCUUUACAAAGCAAUGCAUAAACUAGGGUUUAAGCUUCUGUCACUCUAGCAGCCCAUCAUCUACUUAUUACUUCCCAAUGCCAUCCUCUAGGCCAAAAUAAUGGUGAAGUGUCAUGUAGUUGAUGUUCACAUGACACCACUAGAGGAGAGACAACAUAUAUCUUAACAAAAUAUUGAACGAAUACCAAAUUCACAUGAUUACUUAUAACAAGACUUAUCCCAUGUCCUCAGGAACAAUCUUAACUACUCACAAAGCAUAUUCAUGGUCAUAAUCAGAGGAUUAUUAAUAAUCAUUAAGGAUCUGAACUUAUAAUUUUCCACCAAAUAAACCAACUAGAAUCAACUACAAGGAGUAAUCAACACUACAAGCAACCCACUGGUACCAAUAUGAGGUUUUGAGACAAAGAUCGGAUACAAGAGAAGAACUAGGGUUUGGAGAGGAGAUGGUGCUGAUGAAGAUGUUGAUGGAGAUUGAUCCCCUUUCAAUGGGAGGAUCGUUGGUGAUGAUGAUGGCUUCGAUUUCCCCCUCCAUGAGGGAAGUUUCCCCGGCUGAAUAGCUCCGCUGAAGCUCUAGAUUGGUUAUGUCGAAGUUCCGCCUCGAGACGGCGGUGCAUCGCCCCGAAAGGUCUGAUAUGAUUUUUCUAGGUCAAAACCCUUCAUAUAGUAGAAGAUGGGCAGCGAAGGCCUGCCAGGGGGCCACAAACCUGUAGGGCGCGACCAGGGGUAGGCCGCGCCCCCUGGCUUGUGACCUCCUGGUGGGUCCCCUCCGAUAUUUCUUUCACCCAUUAUUUUUUAUAUAUUCCAAAACAAUUGUCCAUAACUUUUCAGGACUUUUGGAGCUAUGCAGAAUAGGUCUCUCAUAUUUUCCCCUUUUCUAGUCCAAAAUUCCAGCUGCCGGCAUUCUUCCUCUUCAUGUAAAUCAUGUAAAAUAAGAGAGAAAAGGCAUAAGUAGUGUACCAUAAUGUGUAUUAACAGACCAUAAUGCAAUAAAUAUUGAGAUAAAAGAAUGAUGCAAAAUGGAUGUUUCAACUCCCCCAAGCUUUGUCCUCGCUUGUCCUCAAGCGAAAGCCGAUAUCAAUAAAUAUGCCCACAUGUUUAGAGAUAGAGGUGUCGAUGAAAUAAAAUACGGACAUGAAGGCGUCAUGGUUAUAUUUAGAACAACAAUAAAUACUGACAUAGAAUAUUUUACAUUAGAGUAAUAAUUCAUUCACAAGGCAAAAUAUGAAUCAAGAACUCUAUUGAGAACUAACGAACUAUGAUUUCAGUCAUUGAACCAAUUCCAAUUUAUCGCAACGUAGGAAAGAGUCAAUAAGAGCUUGUAAGGAAAGUCCACAUACUCAAUCAUCUUAUGGUAUUUCAUAAUUGCUAACACUCACGCGGUACCUAUGAGCUCAAAGCUUCAAUAACACAUAGAGAAAGAUAGGGGCUUAUAAUUUUGCCUCCCAACUAUUUACCUCAAGGGUAAUGUCAACAAGAAUAACUCAUGAUCACCCACAUCCGAGUGGAUAUAUUUGUCUAUAUCAUUCCCCAACACAUGACACUUGACAAAAGAUAAGGGUGAAACAAAGGAAAUGGUGAAGAUCACCAUGACUCUUAGAUAAAGGUAAGUACUAGAAAGUAAAGGUAACAGAUAGGCCCUUCGUAGAGGGAAGCAGAGGUUGUCAUGCACUUUUAUAGUUGGAUGCACAAUCCCUUAAUGCAAAAGAAAGUUAAUUUAUAUUGCCCCUUAUGAUAAAGAACUUUAUUAUGCAGUCUGUCGCUUUUAUUUCUUCUAUAUCACAAGUUCGUAUACAGUUUAUUUUCCUCGCACUAAUAAACCACACAUAUUUAAAGAGCAAUUUUUAUCGCUUGCACCGAUGACAACUUACUUGAAGGAUCCUACUCAAUCCAUAGGUAGCUAUGGUGGACUCUCAAGGAAAAAUUGGGUUAAAGGUUUUUGGAUGCACAAGUAGUAUCUCUACUUGGUGCAGGAGUUUCUGGCUAAUAUGAGGUGGAAGCAAGCGACACAUGUUGAAGGAUCUACAACCAUAUAAUUGCUAUUCAGAAAUAAGCAAACAUAACUUAUUAUGGUGUCUUCCUUGUCCAACAUCAACUUCUUAACAUAUAAUAUUUUAAUGAGUGUUCACAAUCACAAAAGAUGUCUAAGAUAAUAUAUUUAUAUGUGAACCUCUCUUUCUUUAUUACUUCCUUUUAAUUGCAACAAUGACCAAUAGUUUUGUUUGUCAACUCACAACAAAUUUCAAUCGUCAUACCUUUUAUAUGUGAAGUCAUCACUCUGCAUAAGAUCAUUAUGUAUGCUCUUUUGCUUUUAUUUUGUACUUCUUUCUAUUUCUUUUUCUCAAGAUCUUAGUAAGCAAGCAAAGCCCUUGACUCAAAACUACUCUUUAUUAUAUAACUCUCGGACUUGCUUACACAGGGGGGACAAAAACAAAACUCAAAAUUAGAUCACACUAAAACUUUAUUCUACUAGAUCAAGAUAUAGUUGAAGGUAUCGAACGAAGAAAAACAAAGAAAGUAAAAAGGUGUGAUGGUGAUACGUUACCGGGGCACCUCCCCCAAGCUUGGCACAAGCCAAGGGGAGUGCCCAUACCCAUGUGUUUAGUUGUCUUUCUUCGGAGAUGAUGAUGUUGGAGUUGUUGGUGAGGUUGAAGGUUUGUCCUCCGUCUUCCAAGGCAUGGGAUCACCAUCGUGAAAAGAUGAACUAGUCUCCAGGAUCCUCAAGCCUACAACCAAACUCAUUUUCUUAAAUUUGUAUUCAUACUCACAAUUUUGGUUUUGCAAGUCAUAGAUCUGGGCUUGGAGAUGCUCGAUUUUCUCGUAAAUCUUGAAGACGUGAACCCACAGGUUCUUGUCGUCAAACUUGUGCUUAUGGGUAAAGUCCACCAUCAUCAAGUGAUUGGCAUUAAGUCCUCAUUCCACCAUCCCUUGGCACUUGAAGACUUGCUGCUCCAUUGCUUCGAGCCUUGUCUCCAUGCUUCCAGUCUUCUUUGGCCCCUCAGCAUCGCGGAUGUGCAGCACCCCCUCAUGCAUCUCAAUGGUUUGAGGGUGUUGGAGCACCUCCGCAAGGUAGGGGUUGAUGACCCUCUCAAAGAACUUGUCCUUCAGGGUACUUGAAGACGUCAUGUUGAUCUAAAUCUGUUAUAGAAACAACUCGAAAUGAAAAUAGGAGGAAUUGUCAUGAUACAAAGGUCAAACCCGUCGGGAGAUUAUAUAAUCAAUUUUUGCUGACCCGAGGGAGUAUUCCACAGAAAAACGGAGUCCGUAGGGUGCCCGGGGUGGCCACAAGCAUGCAGGGCGCGACCAGGGGGCAGGCCACGCCUGAAGUUUGUUGUGUAUCCCUUGCAACGGCGCCAAAAAUAGUUGUGUCGACGGCACUAGGAAUCCUUCAACUACGGCUACGCCUUAAGGGACUUCCUAGGCAAGUAUGAAAAGGAUUUCCCCCGUGGCCUUGGAGCCUUGCGUUGGUAUUCCCUCGAAGCGGAAAGGGUGAUGUAGCACAGCGACGUUAAGUAUUUCCCUCAAUUUGAGAACCAAGGUAUCAAUCCGGCGGAAGAGUAUCUCAAGAUCCUGCACAAACACAAAAGCUUGCACCCAACGCUAUGAAGGGGUUGUCAAUCCCUUAUAGAUUGUUUGCCAAGUGAGAGCUGAAAGCAACAAAGUAACAAAGCAAAGUAAAAGCAUAGUUGUAAACGAUGGAUGUGAAUAGACCCGGGGGCGGUAGUGUUUACUAGUGGCUUCUCUCAUGAAAGCAAGUAGACGGUGGGUGAAGAAAUUAUUGUCGAGCAAUUGAUAGAACUGUGCAGAGUUGUGAUGAUAUCUAUGCAAUGAUUAUUUCUAUAUGCAUCACGUCCGAAACAAGUAGACCGAUACUUUCUGCAUCUACUACUAUUACUCCACACGUCCACCACUAUCCAGCAUGCAUCUAGUGUAUUAAGUCCAUAAGAACAGAGUAACGCCUUAAGCAAGAUGACAUGAUGUAGAGGGAUAAUCUCAAACCAAUGAUAAAAACCCCAUCUUUUUACCCUUGAUGGCAACUGCUUGAUGUGUGCCUUGCUGCCCCUACCGUCACUGGGAAAGGUCACCAGAUGGCAGAACCCAAAACCAAGCACUUCUCCCAUUGCAAGAAUCAUAGAUCUAGUUGGCCAAACAAAACCCAAGACUCGGAGAGACUUACAAGGAUAUCAAAUCAUGCAUAUAAGAAAUCAGCAAGGACUCAAAUAUAUAUCAUAGAUAAUCUGAUCACAAGUCCACAAUUCAUCGGAUCUCGACAAACACACCGCAAAAGAAAAUUACAUCGGAUAGAUCUCCAUGAAGAUCAUGGAAAACUUUGUAUUGAAGAUCCAAAAGAGAGAAGAAGCCAUCUAGCUACUAACUACGGACCCGUAGGUCUGAAGUGAACUACUCACGAGUCACUGGAGGGGCGAUGAAGAUGAUGAAGAAGCCCUCCACCUCCGAAGUCCCCUCCGGCAGGGUGCCGGGAAGGGUCUCCAGAUGAGAUCUCGCGGAAACAGAAGCUUGCGGCGGUGGAAAAGUAUUUUCGAGGCUCCCCCGAUUUUUUGCGGAAUAUUUGGGAAUUUACAGGCCAAAGAUCUAGGUCAGGGGGCGGCCAGGGAGGCCACAAGCCUGCCCACCGCCGCCUCCCCCUGGUGGCGGAGUGGGGGCUUGUGGGAUCCCUGGAGCCCACCUGGCUUGGCCCAAAUGCCCCCUGGUCUUCUUCCGUUCGGGAAAAAAUCAUUUUGUGGUUUUUCUUCCAUUUGGACUCCGUUCCAAAAUCAGAUCUGAAAAGAGUCAAAAACACGAAAAAAACAGGAACUGGCACUUGGCACUGAAUUAAUAAGUUAGUCCCAAAAAAGAUAUAAAAGGUACAUAAAACAACCCAAGAAGACAAGAUAACUGCGUUAAACCAUCAAAAAUUAUAGAUACGUUUGAGACGUAUCAAGCAUCCCCAAGCUUAACUCCUGCUCGUCCUCGAGUAGGGAAGUGAUAAGAAUGAAUUUUUUAUGCUUUCAUGCUACCUAGCAUAGGUGUCCUUUGUAAUUCCUCUUAUGUGACGUGAAUGUUCAGAUCCAUUAGAUUCAAAACAAUAGUUUGCUAUUGACGUGGAAACAAUAAUAAUUCAAGCAAACUAGAAAAGCAAUCAUGAACAGGCCAAAAGAAAGUUAUCCCUACAAAAGCAUAUAGUCUGGCUAUGCUCUGUCAUCAUUGCACAAUGAGUUUAAAUCAUGCACAACCCCGGUAUUGGCCAAGUAAUUGUUUCACACCUUUACUUUCUCAAACAUUUUCAACUCUCACGCAAUACAUGAGUGUGAGCCAUGGUUAUAGCACUAUAGAUGGUGUGGAAUGUGGUGGAGGUUGCAAGAAAAAAAAGGAGAAGAUAGUCACAUUAACUAGGCAUAUAAAUGAGCUGUGGAGAUGCUCAUAAAUAGAUAUCAAUGUGAAUGAGUAGGGAUUGCCAUACAAAUGAUGCACUAGAGCUACAAGUAUGUGAAAGCUCUUAAAGAAAACUAGUGGGUGUGCAUCCAACUUGCUUGAUCACGAAGACCUAAGGCAAUUUUGAGGAAGCCUAUCAUUGGAAUAUACAAGCCAAGUUAUAUAAUGAGAAUUUCCCACUAGCUAUAUGGUGGUGACAAAACGAGAGACUCUCAAUCAUGAAGAUCAUGGUGCUCAAAAUGCACAAGUGUGGAAGAAGUGGUAGCAUUGUUCCUUAUCUCUUUUUCUCUCAUUUUUUUUAUUUUGGUGGGCUCUUUGGCCUCUUUUUUAUGGGCUGCUUUGGCCUCUUUUAUUUCCUCACAUGGGACAAUGCUCCAAUAAUGAUGAUCAUCACACUUUCAACUCAAAACUUAGAGCAACUAUGACUCUAUAUGGAAUGCCUUCGGUAGUGUAUCGUGGCAAUGAUUUAGCAUGGCAUAGACAUCAAUGGAAACAUCAUGCUAGCUAUCUUACGAUCGUGCAAAGGCAAUGUAGACGUGGUGGCACAUAUCAUGGUGGUAAUUGCAUUGCAAUAUAUCUCGGAAUGACUUUGAAAAAGCCAUAGUAGGUAGGUAUGGUGGCUGUUUUGAGGGAGGCUAAUGGUGGGUUUUGUGCACCGGCGAAAGUUGCGCGGCACUAAGAAGAUAGUGAUGGUGGAAGGUGAAAGUGCAUCUAAACUAUGGACUCAACAUUAGUCAUGAAGAACUCAUAUACUUGUUGCAAAAGUUUUGUUAGUAAUCGAAACAAAGCAUUCAACGCAUACUCCUAGGGGAAGGGUUGGUAGGUAUAAACCAUCGCGCGAUACCGACCGCCACGCAAAGGAUGACAAUCAAUAUACUAAUCAUGCUCAGAUUUCAUCACAUAGCGGUUCACCAUAUGUGCAUGCUACGGGAAUCACUAAUUUCAACACAAGUAUUUCUAGAUCCACAACACCUUACUAGCAUGACUUCAAUAUUACCAUAACCACAACUCAAAACUAAUUGAGAUGAAUCAAACUUCUCUAACUAUUCAAUGCACAUGAAGGUGGAAGUUUUCGUAUCCCUUUGGAUAACUACCCCUUUUGAGACUAAUUUAAAGCAUAGAUCAACUACCAAGCCGCGCACUGCUGUGCUCUAAAAGGUAUAAGUGAAGCACAUAGAGCAAAAGUAUCUAGCUCAAAAGAUAUAAGUGAAGCACAUGUGAGCUGAAUUGUCUACCAAAAGAUAUAAGUGAAGCUCGACAAAAUCAUGGUGAGUGCAUGUCUCUCUCUCUAGGUGUGAAGCAAGGAUGAUUGUGACACAACAAAAAUAAAAUACUCCUACGAUACAAGACGCUCCAAGCAAAAACACAUAACAUGUGGUGAAUAAAAAUAUAGCCCCAAGUAACGUUACCGAUGGAUUGAAGACGAGAGAGGGGAUGCCUUCCCGGGGCAUCCCCAAGCUUAGGCUUUUAUGGCAUCCUUGAAUCUCUUGGGGUGCCCUGCGCAUCCCCAAGCUUGAGCUCUUGCCACUCUUUAUCUUUUUGUCCAUAAGAACUUCACCCAAAACUUGAAAACUUCACAACACAAAACUUAAACAGAAACUCGUGAUAACAUUAGUACAAGAAAGCAAACCACCACUUCCUUAGGUACUGUAGCAAACUUAAAUUCUACUUGUGCUGAUGUUGGGUUACUGUACUUUCAAUCUUCCAUGGCUAAUACCCCCCGAUACUAUCCAUAGUUUCAUCAAAAUAAGCAACCAACACAACAAAAACAGAAUCUGUUAACAGCAGACCAGUCUGUAGCAAUCUGUAUUUUUUGUAUACCUCUGCUACUUCAAAAUUUCUGAAAAAUUACGACAGUCUGAAGAUUUUGCGUAGAAAUCGGAAGCAAAAAGAAUCAACUCAAAAUCUCUUACAGAAAAUAAAUGAAAAUUCUUUUCGUGAGCAGAAAGUUUCUGUCUUUUCCAGCGUGACCAAACGAUCAACCUCAAGACUAAUCAUAACGGUUUUGCUUGACACAAACGCAAAAGGAAACACAAAAAACACAAUCAUAACAGAAUUAUGAAAGUGUGGAAAACACAAAACAUAAAGAAAAAGGAUAGAUUCGUUGGAUUGCCUCCCAACAAGCGCUUUUGUUUAACGCCCUUAGCUAGGCAUUCAAUGAUGCUCUCACAAAAGACAAGAAUUGAAGCACAACGAGAGCAUCCUAAAGCAUGUGAAAACCACAUCUAAGUCUAACAUACUUCCUAUGCAUAGGCAUUUUAUAGGAAAACAAAUUGUCAAGACAACCAAUAGCUGCCAUAUGCAAGGAAGAAGAAAGAGACAAGAGCAAUCUCAACAUCACGAGAGGUGAUUUGGUAACACGAAAGUUUCUACCAAAAUAUUUUCCUCUCUUAUAGAAAUUACAUGUGGGAUCAUAUUCAAAUUCAACAAUAUAACUAUCCCAUAGGAUAUUCUUUUCAUGAUCCACAUGCAUGCAAAGUUGACGCUCUUUAAAAAUAGUGGGAUUAUCAUCAAAUAAAGUCAUGACUUCUCCAAUCCCACUUUCAGUAUUGUUGCAAAUAUCAUAUUCAUCAUGAGGUUUGAACAAAUUUUCAAGAUCAUAAGAAAGAUCAUCACCCCAAUCAUGAUUAUUGCAACAAGUAGUGGACAAAGCAAAACUAGCAUCCCCAAGCUUAGGGUUUUGCAUAUUUUUAGCAUGAUUGUCACUAAUAGGAUUUAUAGUGAAAUCAUUGCAAUCAUGCUUUUCAUCCAAGGAGCCCUCGUGAAUCACUUCAUGAAUUUCUUCCUCACAAUUUUCAGAUUCACGCAUCUUAUGCAAAACUCCAAAGAAAUAGUCAAUUGCCCUCAACUCACUAGCAAUUUGUUCCACACGAGUGGGUCUCUUAAAGAGACUAGCAAGUGGAUGAGGAUCCAUAUCACUAGAUUUUCAACAAGCGAACAUGCAAGCAUAUUGAAGGCACAUGGCACACAAGCGAACAAAAAGCAAGCGAGAGAAAAAGGGCGAACAAAAAAGGCAAAUGAAAACGGCAAAGGCGAAUGGCGAAUGAAAACGGCAAAUGUGAAGUGGUGGAGAGGAAAACGAGAGGCAAGUGGCAAUAAAAGUAAAUGCAAGAGAAGAGUUUGUGAGACCUACUUGGAUAGAUCUUGAUUUCUCCUCCCUGGCAACGGCGCCAGAAAUACUUCUGAUGUUUACUAUGUAUCCCUUGCAACGGCGCCAAAAAUAGUUGUGUCGACCGCACCAGGAAUCCUUAAGCUACAGCUAGGCCUUAAGGGACUUCCUAGGCAAGUAUGCAGGUGAUUUCCCCCAUGGCCUUGGAGCCUUGCGUUGGUGUUCCCUCGAAGCGGAAAGGGUGAUGUAGCACAGCGACGGUAAGUAUUUCCCUCAGUUUGAGAACCAAGGUAUCAAUCCGGCGGAAGAGUAUCUCAAGAUCCUGCACAAACACAUAUGCUUGCACCCAACGCUAUGAAGGGGUUGUCAAUCCCUUAUAGAUUGUUUGCCAAGUGAGAACUGAAAGCAACAAAGUAACAAAGCAAAGUAAAAGCGGAGUUGUAAACGAUGGAUGUGAAUAGACCCGGGGGCGGUAGUGUUUACUAGUGGNNNNNNNNNNNNNNNNNNNNNNNNNNNNNNNNNNNNNNNNNNNNNNNNNNNNNNNNNNNNNNNNNNNNNNNNNNNNNNNNNNNNNNNNNNNNNNNNNNNNNNNNNNNNNNNNNNNNNNNNNNNNNNNNNNNNNNNNNNNNNNNNNNNNNNNNNNNNNNNNNNNNNNNNNNNNNNNNNNNNNNNNNNNNNNNNNNNNNNNNNNNNNNNNNNNNNNNNNNNNNNNNNNNNNNNNNNNNNNNNNNNNNNNNNNNNNNNNNNNNNNNNNNNNNNNNNNNNNNNNNNNNNNNNNNNNNNNNNNNNNNNNNNNNNNNNNNNNNNNNNNNNNNNNNNNNNNNNNNNNNNNNNNNNNNNNNNNNNNNNNNNNNNNNNNNNNNNNGUAGUGUUUACUAGUGGCUUCUCUCAUGAAAGCAAGUAGACGGUGGGUGAACAAAUUACUGUCGAGCAUUUGAUAGAACUGUGCAGAGUCGUGACGGUAUCUAUGCAAUGAUUAUUUCUAUAGGCAUCACGUCCGAAACAAGUAGACCGAUACUUUCUGCAUCUACUAUUACUCCACACGUUGAUCGCUAUCCAGCAUGCAUCUAAUGUAUUAAGUCCAUAAGAACAGAGUAACGCCUUAAGCAAGAUGACAUGAUGUAGAGGGAUAAUCUCAAACCAAUGAUAAAAACCCCAUCUUUUUACCCUUGAUGGCAACUGCUUGAUGUGUGCCUUGCUGCCCCUACUGUCACUGGGAAAGGUCACCACAUGGCAGAACCCAAAACCAAGCACUUCUCCCAUUGCAAGAAUCAUAGAUCUAGUUGGCCAAACAAAACCCAAGAUCUGGAGAGACUUACAAGGAUAUCAAAUCAUGCAUAUAAGAAAUCAGCAAAGACUCAUAUAUAUAUCAUAGAUAAUCUGAUCACAAGUCCACAAUUCAUCAGAUCUCGACAAACACACCGCCAAAGAUGAUUACAUUGGAUAGAUCUCCAUGAAGAUCAUGGAGAACUUUGUAUUGAAGAUCCAAGAGAGAGAAGAAGCCAUCUAGCUACUAACUACGGACCUAUAGGUCUGAAGUGAACUAUUCAUGAGUCAUUGGAGGGGCGAUGAUGAUGAUGAAGAAUCCCUCCACCUCCGAAGUCCCCUCCGGCAGGGUGCCGGGAAGGGUCUCCAGAUGAGAUCUCGCGGAAACGGAAGCUUGCGGCGGCGGAAAAGUUUUUUCGAGGCUCCCCCGAUUUUUUGCAGAAUAUUUGGGAAUUUAUAGGCCAAAGAUCUAGGUCAGGGGGCGGCCAGGGAGGCCACAAGCCUGCCCACCACCGCCUUCCCCUGGUGGCGGAGUGGGGGCUUGUGGGCUCCCUGGAGCCCGCCUGGCUUGGCCCAAAAGCCCCGUGGUCUUCUUCCGUUCGGGAAAAAAUCAUUUUGGGGUUUUUCUUCUGUUUGGACUCCGUUCCAAAAUCAGAUCUGAAAAGAGUCAAAAACACGGAAAAAGCAGGAACUGGAACUUGGCACUGAAUUAAUAAGUUAGUCACAAAAGAUAUAAAAGGUACAUAAAACAACCAAAGAAGACAAGAUAACAGCGUGAAACCAUCAAAAAUUAUAGAUACGUUUGAGACGUAUCAACGCCCCCUGGCUUGUCGCCUCCUCGUGCACGCUUCAGGCUGCUUUAAAUUUUCCUAAUUUUUAAAAUAUUCCAAAACUGGUAAAAAUUGCCAUUGAAAACGUUUUGGAGUCGGUUUGCUUACCGUAGCACAUACCUAUUCCUUUUCGGGGUCCGAGACGUUCUGAUAGGUCUCCCUAAUGUACUCUUCCGAAGUUAUGGUAUUGAUAAUAUUAGUUUCAACAUUUAUGGGAGUACGUGAGAUAUAAUGUUUGAUUCUUUGCCCAUUUACCACCUUCAGAUUUGUGCCUUCGACAUUGUUAAUCUCGAUGGCACCGGAACAAUAUACUUCCUCGAUAACGUAAGGCCCUUCACAUUUAGAGAGAAUUUUUCCUGCAAAAAAUCUUAAACGAGAGUUGUAUAGCAAGGCAUGAUCACCUACAUUGAAUUCAUGCUUUUGUAUCUUUCUAUCAUGCCAUCUCUUAACCUUUUAUUUAAACAACUUGGCAUUCUCAUAGGCCUGGGUUCUCCAUUCAUCAAGUGAGCUAAUGUCAAAUAAUCUUUUCUCACCAGCAAGUUUGAAAACAUAGUUAAGCUCUUUAAUUGCCCAAUAUGAUUUAUGUUCUAGCUCUAGAGGUAAGUGACAUGCUUUACCAUAAACCAUUUUAUACGGAGACAUACCCAUAGGGUUUUUGUAAGCGGUUCUAUAAGCCCAUAAUGCAUCAUUAAGUUUCUUGGACCAAUUCUUUCUAGAUCUAUUAACGGUCUUUUGCAAGAUGAACUUAAUUUCUCUAUUGCUCAAUUCUACUUGCCCACUAGACUGAAGAUGAUAAGGAGAUGCAAUUCUAUGAUUAACAUCAUACUUAGCAAGCAACUUAUGGAAAGCACCAUGAAUAAACUGUGAACCACCACCAGUCAUUAAAUAUCUAGGGAUUCCAAAUCUAGGGAAAAUAACAUCUUUCAACAUUUUAAUAGAAGUGUUAUGAUCAGCACUUCUAGUUGGAAUAGCUUCUACCCACUUAGUAACAUAAUCAACAACAACUAGAAUAUGAGUAUACCCGUUAGAUUUUCGAAAAGGUCCCAUAUAAUCAAAACCCCAAACAAUAAAUGGUUCAAUAACUAGAGAGUAAUUCAUAGGCAUUUCCUGACGUCUACUAAUAUUACCAAUUCUUUGACAUUCAUCGCAAGACAAUACAAACUUACGAGCAUCCUUGAAGAGAGUAGGCCAAUUAAAACCAGAUUGUAAUACCUUGUGUGCAAUUCUAUCUCCACCAUGAUGUCCUCCGUAGGCCUCAGAGUGACACUUGUAUAGAAUCUGUCCCAGUUCAUGCUCAGGUACACAACAUCUAAUAAUACCAUCUACUCCUAUUUUAUAAAGGUGUGGAUCAUCCCAAAAGUAAUGUCUUAAAUCAUAGAAGAACUUUUUCUUUUGUUGCUAUGUGAAACUAGGCGGGAUAAAUUUAGAAACUAUGUAAUUAGCAUAAUCAGCAUACCAAGGAGCAUUGCAUGAAGCAUUUAUGACAACUAAUUGUUCAUCAGAAAAGCUAUCGUCAAUAGGUAGUGGGUCAUCAAGAACAUUCUCUAAUCUAGACAAGUUAUCUCCUAUGGGGUUAUCAGCGUCCUUUCUAUCAAUAAUAUGCAAAUCAAAUUCUUGUAGCACAAUAACCCAUCUAGUAAGUCUACGUUUAGCAUCUUUCGUUUCCCUAAGAUACUUAAUAGCAGCGUGAUCAAUGUGAACAGUUACUUUGGAAACAACAAUAUAAGGUCUAAACUUAUCACAAGCAAACACAACUGUCGAGAGAAUGAUCCCCAGGUACCCCAAAGACGCAGAGUCGAGUGGGGUGCGUGCCCGCCCCGGCCGGCUGCUCCCAAUCCGCCCACGGCCGGCUCCUCUGUACAGCCGGCUACGCCAGCCUGACGACUAGCCGUAGUCAACUACGACGUCCCCCCCGGGCGUCGUACUGCUUCAUCUACAGUGUAACUUGUCCCCUGGGCGCUGGUUUAUAAAGUGCCCCAGGGGACAAGCAUAGCUUAGAUCCCAAGCUACUUAUAGCUUGGCAUGUAAGCUACCCAUGGUAGCUUACAUGCCAAGCAGCUUGGUAUGUAAGCUACCCACUAUAGCUUACAUACCAAGCAGCUUGGUAUGUAAGCUAUCCACUGUAGCUUACAUACCAAGCUACACAUCCAUACAAAGGGCCUCAUGCCCACCGCGUAUGGGAGGACUCUCGGAGACUCUCUCACACUCUCCCACAUACACACACUAAGACAUGAGGUCGGGAAGGAGGCACUCAACUCGCUUCCUCCUCCAAUACAGCUCCAGGAGCAACCUUCUACUGCCAAUAUACAUCAUAUACACACAUGCAGGAGUAGGGGUAUUAUCUCUCCGGAGAGCCCCGAACCUGGGUAAACCACUGCGUGCUAUUACCCUAUCCCGUCCCGGAUCCUCCACGACAGCCUUUCCCUCACCUCGAUUAGCCAUCCCAGGACAUAUGCCGUCAGGGUACCCCCUAUAUCAAAACGACGACAUUUGGCGCCCAUCGUGGGGGCCGCUGCUACUGGAACCAUGGUCCGGACGGGACCAUCUUCAUCAUCAAAACUGCGACAUCGCCGUCGUCUCCUCAGCGCUGCUCGGGGGCUCGACAUCAGCAUGCCCCAGGCGUGCUCGUGUGGGGCGAAGUGUUCGUGUCGUUCGCCUUUGGUCCGCUCCCGGGUACACCAUGUUCGGUCUCAUCCUACCCGUCAUCUCUAUGCGUUCAUGCGCGUGCACGUACGUGCACUCGUUUCUGCACGCACCCUGAGCACCGGCAAUGCCACAACGCCAGCUCCGCCCACUUCCUCAACUGCGUUGGUUCUCUGAGUGCUACUCCGGCCUCUCCGCAUCCGGUCGUUCCACCGGCUCCGUCCGGCUGGCUUCGGCCUCUUUCAUUGGCCCCGCGCCCUCGUGCCAUCCGGCUCCUCCCCGCCAGAGUGCAUGGCCACAUGCAUGGGAAUGUAAAUGGGCACAUGCAUGUUGGUCGUGUGCAUGGCCACAUGCAAGCGUGGCCGGCUGCUUGGCCUACCUUGGCUGGCUACUCAGCCGGCAGCUGAACCUGCGAUGAGUUCGCUGCCGAGUUGCCUGACUACUGGCCGGCUGCCCGGCUGUCCGACUGCCUGGCCGGCCCCCGGCUGCCGCAUUACUGGUAGCCUGAUCCGGCACCUGCAGGAAUCAAGUCGGCCAGCUUUGUCCGGCUCCGCUACAUUAAAAGAAGAAAACUACAUAUAUGUGUGGUACGUAUAGUACUACGAUGCAUGCAUGGCCAGGCCGCCUGGAUGGCUACAUGCGUGGUCAGCUAAACGGCAGCUUGGCCGGCUACAUGCCAUGGCCGGCUACGCUGCAUGCAUGCGUUCCUGGCCAGCUGCAGUACGUGCGCGUCUGGCCGGGUGCACUACAUCCGUGCAUGUUUGGUCGGCUGCAUGUCUGGCCGGCUGCAUGCCUGGCCGGCUGUUCUACGACUCCGCUCCGUGGGACUCAGCUUCAUCCACGCCUCCCGCCGGCUCCCACAUUGCUCCCGUGUCACCGCUUGGUCGAACUAUCUAUCUGUAUGCGUCGUCGUCUGGUCGGCUGGCCUGACCGUCUACUUCGACACCGGACCGACUCGGACCACCCGUCUACUUCGACAUCAGGCCGACUCCGGUCGCCCGUCUACUUCGACAUCGGGCCGACUCCGGUCGUUCAUCUGCUUCGACUCCUGGCCGGCUGGCAUACCCGCCGACCGCCAGAAGUUCGGCGGCUACACCCAGUGGGUGCCCCGGCGUUCUCGGCUAGCAAAAGGCCAGAACGGCUGCAAACCGCACCGGUCAUCAUCAACAACAACCAUCUCGCCGACUCCAAAAAGAGCAAUGUGAGAUGCCCAUCUACAUAUUUUUACACCAUGCACAAAAGACGGAUACCCCGAGUGACUCUCGGGGGCCAUCCCCGCAUUCGUUUCAGUUGCUUUACUGUUCAUCCCGGCGCCAGCUAGUCUCGCCCGGGGCCGGCCGCUUGGCUCGAUAUGUUCGUUUCAUGGGGCGGCUUAGUAGCCUGUACGGUACCGAAGGCCCACUCUUUGUCUCAGCUACAGACCGUACCGCGGCUGUCCGGCUAGCGAGAGCAAAAGCUGGAGGUCACCACACGCGAAAAACGCUCAGGGAAAAAACGGCUUGGGCGACACGGCCGCUUCCUUCAUAAAAUUUAUACCCGGUUGAGCCUGCUCCCGGAGUCAGAGUACUGUGCUCCCUUCUCUGUGUCCCACUCUUCGUCUCAGCUACAGACCGUAUCGCGGCUGUCCGGCUAGCAAGAGCAAAAGCCAAAGAGCCGAGGGGACACGAAAUGACCCAAAUGGCUCAGGCGACAUCGAGUUGACAUUCCACCCGCAUAAAACUUGCGCGGACAAAAUUAAAUAUUUGAUAAAUAUGCGCCGACUAACUUUGUCUCUUGCACGGUCAUCUUCGUGGCGAAUCACCAUUGCAUGCCGGCUACCGGCCGCUGGCUGCAGACUGCCAGCCACCGGUGGCUGGGUGUAGGCUGCAACUCUCGCCGGCUAGACUGUCCGGCUAGGACCCUGGCCGGUUGGAGGCCUGGCCGACGGGAGUCUGUCCGGCUGGAGCACACUCAAGAUAGCUAUGCCGGCUGCAGUAUGUAGCCGACCGCCAUCGGCAACUCAUUUGCUACAACAACAGCAAGAAGCCUCCGCACGACUCUCCAAGUCGCCCGGAGGCUCGGAGGCUACACCCAGCGGGUGCGCCUGCGCGCCCCCGAUGGAAACAGCCAGCCGGUGGACCACGCGUCUGCACCCUGCAGUGCCUCGCGCAUCGAUCGGCGGACAUUGCGUCCUCGCCCGACAUCCCCGACGCUACCGUCCACUCCAGCACCUACAAAGACCCUCCGCCUGACUGUUCGAGUCGCCCGGAGGCUACACCCAGCGGGUGCGCUGGCGCGCCCCCGCCAAAAACAAGCCACGCCGUUCCCGGCUUGCAAUCGACCGUCAUCGACAACUUCUGCAUCAACAACGAAUGCGAAAACCCUCCGUCCGGCUCUUUGAGUCGCACGGAAGCUCGGAGGCUACUGUCGGGGGAAUGAUCCCCAGGUACCCCAAAGACGCAGAGUUGAGUGGGGUGCGUGCCCGCCCCGGCCGGCUGCUCCCAAUCCGCCCACGGCCGGCUCCUCUGUGCAGCCGGCUACGCCAGCCUGACGACUAGUCGUAGUCAACUACGACGUCCCCCCGUGCGUCGUACUGCUUCAUCUACAGUGUAACUUGUCCCCUGGGCGCUAGUUUAUAAAGUGCCCCAGGGGACAAGCAUAGCUUAGGUCCCAAGCUACUUAUAGCUUGGCAUGUAAGCUACCCACUGUAGCUUACAUACCAAGCAGCUUGGCAUGUAACUAUCCACUGUAGCUUACAUACCAAGCUACACAUCCAUACAAAGGGCCUCAUGCCCAUCGCGUAUGGGAGGACUCUCGGAGACUCUCUCACACUCUCCCACAUACACACACUAAGACAUGAGGCCAGGAAGGAGGCACUCACCUCUAUUCCUCCUCUAAUACACCUCUAGGAGCAACCUUGUACUACCGAGAUACAUCAUAUACACAAAUGUAGGAGUAGGAGUAUUAUCUCUCCGGAGAGCCCCGAAUCUGGGUAAACCACUUCGUACUAUUACCCUAUCCCGUCCCGGAUCCUCCACGACAGCCUUUCCCUCACCUCGAUUAGCCAUCCCCUGGCAUAUGCCGUCUGGGUACCCCCUAUAUAGAAACGACGACAACAACUGCUAAAACUUCCUUUUCAGUGGUAGCAUAGUUUCUUUGGGCAUUGUCUAGAGUUUUACUAGCGUAAUGGAUGACAUUUAAUUUCUUAUCAACUCUUUGCCCUAGAACAACACCAACAACAUAAUCACUAGCAUCAGACAUAAUUUCAAAGGGUAGGUUCCAAUCACGUGGUUGAACAACAGGUGCGGUGAUCAAGGCUCUCUUAAGAAUUUCAAAUGCUUCUAAACAAUCAUCAUAAAAAACGAAUGGAACAUCCUUUUGCAAAAGAUUAGUGAGAGGCUUAGAAAUCUUAGACAAGUCUUUAAUAAAUCUCCUAUAAAAACCAGCAUGACCAAGGAAACUUCUUAUACCUUUGAUAUCUGUUGGACAUGACAUUUUUUCAGUAGCAUCAACUUUAGCUUUAUCAACUUCAAUACCUCUUUUGGAGAUUUUGUGUCCCAAGAUAAUGACGUUAUUAACCAUAAAGUGGUACUUCUCCCAAUUCAAGACAAGAUUAGUUUAUGCACGUCUCUGCAAAACUCGAUCAAGGUUGCUCAAGCAAUCAUAAAAAGAAGUUCCAUAAAUGGAAAAAUCAUCGAUGAAAACCUCAACAAUAUUUUCACAAAAGUCAGAGAAUAUAGCCAUCAUACAUCUUUGAAAGGUAGCACGUGCAUUGCAUAAACUGAAAGGCAUAUGUCUAUAAGCAAAGGUACCGAAAGGGCAAGUAAAAGUGGUCUUCUCUUGAUCCUCUUUUGAUACAGGUAUUUGAGAGAAGCCAAAAUAACCAUCUAGAAAGUAAUAAUGUGUAUGUUUGGAUAGUAUUUCUAGCAUUUGAACAAUAAAAGGUAGCGGGUAAUGAUCUUUCCUAGUAGCUUUAUCUAAUUUCCUUGAAUCAAUUACCAUUCUAUAUCUUGUAACAAUUCUUUGUGGGAUCAAUUCAUAUUUAUCAUUAGGAACAACGUGAGUACCUCCCUUUUUAGGGACACAAUGAACGGGGCUAACCCAUCUACUAUCAGCAAUAGGAUAAAUUAUACCUGCCUCCAGAAGCUUUGGUAUUUCAUUUCUUACCACUUCCUUCAUUUUAGGAUUUAAUCGUCGUUGGUGAUUAACAACAUGUUUAGUAUCAGGCUCCAUAUUGAUUUUGUGCUGACAUAGAGUGGGACUAAUACCCUUAAGAUCAUCAAGAGUUUAUCCAAUAGCAGCACGGUGCUUCCUCAGAGUUUUCAAUAAUCUCUUUUCUUCAUGCUCUGAAAGGUUAGCACUAAUAAUAACAUGAUAUAUCUCGUUUUCAUCAAGAUAAGCAUACUUAGGAGUAUCAGGUAAUUGUUUAAGCUCAAACACGGGAUCAUCCAUUGGUGGAGGAGGAUCCCCAAGUAUUUCAACAUGUAGGUUGUGUUUCAGAAUAGGCUGUUGAUCAAAGAAAAUCUUAUCUAUUUCAUUCCUUUCAAUCAUAUGCAUAUCAUUUUCAUGGUCUAGCAAAUAUUGUUCUAAGGGAUUAGUAGGAGACACAACAAUAGAAGUGAGACCAAUAAUUUCAUAUUUACUAGGUAAUUAUUUGUCAUGGGGUUGUCUACGAAAUUAAGAGAAAUUGAACUCAUGAGAUGCAUCCCCAAAACUUAGAGUAACCGUUUCUUUUUCACAAUAAAUCUUAGCAUUAAUAGUAUUCAAGAAGGGUCUGCUGAAUAUAAUGGGACAAAAAUCAUCUUGUGGGGAACCAAGAACAAGAAAAUCAGUAGGAUACUUUAUUUUCCCACACAAGACUUCAACAUCUCUAACAAUAACAAUUGGUGAAAUACUAUCUCUAUUAGCAAGCUUGAUGGUAACAUCGAUUUCCUCUAAUUCGGCUGGUGCAAUAUCAUUCAUAAUAUCUUGGUAUAAGGUAAAGGGAAUUGCACUCACACUAGCACCCACAUCACAUAAGCCAUGAUAACAAUGAUAUCCUAUUUUAAUGGAAACAAUAGGCACGCUAGCAAUAGGUCUAUGUUUACCCUUAGUAUCAGGUCUACAAAUUCUAGCGGCUUCAUCACAGAAGUGAAUGGCAUGCCCAUCAAUAUUAUCAACCAAGAGAUCUUUAACCAUAGAAAUAUUAGGUUCAACUUUAAUUUGUUCAGGAGGUAUAAGUGUUCUAGUACAACUCUUACGAACCACAGUUUAAGCUUUAGCAUGUUACUUUAUCCUAACAUGAAAGGGUGGUUUCUCAAUAUAAGCAGUAGGAAUUACACGAUCAACAUUAUAAAUAGUAGUUUCUUCUUCAACUUUAAUAGGUUCUACCACUUUAAAUUCAAUGUGAGGAUGAUAUUCAAACCACUUCUCCUUGGGGAGAUAAACAUGAGUAGCAAAAGAUUCACAGAAUGAAGCUACUACCUCAGAGUCAAGUCCAUAUUUAGUGCUAAAAUCACGAAAAGCAUUGGUGUCUAUAAAGGAUUUAACACAAUCAAACUUAAGGCUUAUACCUCACUCAUUACCUUCAUAGAGUUACAAAUCUUAAUAGUUGUGUUUAAUUCUUUCCAAUAAGUCCCAUUUGAAUUCAAUAUCUUUCUUCAUAAAGGAACCAACACAAGAAGUGUCGAUCAUGGAUUAAUCAUUACGAGAGAGCCGAGCAUAAAAAUUCUGAAUAAUAAUUUCUAUCGGGAGCUCAUGAUUGGGGCAUGAAUAUAACAUUGACUUAAGACUGCCCCAAGCUUGAGGGAUUCUUUCUUCUUCACGAGGCCAAAAAUUAUACAUAUAAUUCCGAUCACAAUGAACCAGAUGCAUAGGAUAAAAGUUCUGAUGAAAUUCCAAUUUCAAUCGGUUCUAGUUCCAUGAUCCAAUGUCAUCACAUAGCCUAUACCAUGUCAACGCCUUUUAUUUCAAAUAUAAAGGAAAGACCUUGUUAUUGACAUCAUCCUCGGGCAGACCUGCAAGCUUAAAUAAUCCACAAACUUCAUCCACAUAGAUUAGGUGCAAAUCAGGAUGUAGUGUUCCAUCUCCUCAUAAGGAUUAGCUAACAGUUUUUCUAUCAUACUCGAAGGAAUUUCAUAAUAAAUAGUUUCAGUAGGUGCAGCAGGCUAAGGAGCAUAUCUUUGUGCUUCCGGUCGCGGUGAAGAUACCCCAAACAAGCCCCUCAAAGGAUUAUUUUCCAUACUGACAAGUGACAGUAAAUUUCUGCACAGUAAUUUUUCCACUCACCAAAGGCGCUUUACUCCACGGCAAUAGCGCGAGAAAAGAGUCUUGAUGACCCACAAGUGUAGGGGAUCUAUCAUAGUCCUUUUAAUAAGUAAGAGUGUCGAACCCAACGAGGAGCAGAAGGAAAUGACAAGCGGUUUUCAGUAAGGUAUUCUCUGCAAGCACUAAAAUUAUUGGUAACACAUAGUUUUGUGAUAAGGUAGUUCAUAACGGGUAGCAAGUAACAAAUGUAACAAUGGUGCAGAAAAGUGACCUAAUCCUUUUUGUAGCAAAAUACAAGCCUGAACAAACUCUUAUAUAAAGAAAAGUGCUCCCGAGGACACAUGGGAAUUUAUGUCAAGCUAGUUUUCAUCAUGCUCAUAUGAUUCACGUUCAUUACUUGGAUAAUUUGAUAUGUGGGUGGACCGGUGCUUGGGUGCUGCCCUUACUUGGACAAGCAUCCCACUUAUGAUUAACCUCUCUCGCAAGCAUCUGCAACUACGAAAGAAGAAUUGAUAUAAAUCUAACCAUAGCACGAAUCAUUUGGAUCCAAAACAACCCCUUACAAAGCAACGCAUAAACUAGGGUUUAAGAUUAUGUCACUCUAGCAACCCAACAUCUACUUAUUGUUGGGUAACGUUGCAUGGGAAACAAAAAAAUUCCUACGCACACGAAGACCUAUCAUGGUGAUGAUCAUCUACGAGAGGGAGAUCGGAUCUACAUACCCUUGUAUAUCGCUAAGCGGAAAGCGUUAAGAAGCGCGGUUGAUGUAGUGGAACAUCUUCAUGAUUCAAAUCACCGUCGUCCCAUGAUCCGUCCCGAUCUAGUAUCGAACGGAUGACACCUCCGCGUUCAGCACACGUACAACUCGAUGACGAUCUCCGCCUUCUUGAUCCAGCAAAAGAUACGGGGAAGUAGAUGAGUUCUCUGACAGGGUGAUGGUGCGCCGGUGGUGUUGGUGAUCUAUUCCUGCAGGUCUUCGCCUAAGCACCGCAUAAAUCCGAUCUAGAGGAAGAACUACGAACUAGAGGAGAGGGUUGCACGUGGCUGAAAUUGUGUCUCAAAAACCCUAAAACCUCUAAUAUAUAUAGGAGGAAGGAGGGGCUAGCCUUGAGCCCCAAGGAGAGCCUCCUUGGGCUCGGCCGGUGCUAGGGAGGAGGAGUCCUCCUCCAAUCCUACUUGGAGUAGGACUCCUCCCCAAGUUGUCCACCUCUUUUGGUUUUUUUCCACUUUUACCUCAUGUGCUUUCGUUGGUUCAUCAGUCAGCCCACUAAGAGCUAUUGCGCCACCAUCAAGUCCAUGUGGCCCUCUUGGGGAGUGGUGGGCCCACCUGGUGGGCCCCCAAGACCCAUUUGUCACUCCCGGUACACUGUCGGCAAUGCCUAAAAUUCUUCCGGAAUCCAAAUACCAACUUCCUACAUAUCAAUUUUCGUUUCCGGACCAUUCCAGAAACCCUCAUGACGUCCGGGAUCUCAUCCGGGACUCCGAAAAAAACUUCGGUCACCAGCACCUAUAACUCAGCUAUACCGAAACGUCACCGAACAUUAAGUGUGCAGACCCUGCGGGUUCGAGAACUAUGCAGACAUGACCUGAGACACUCCCUGGUCAAUAUCCAACAGCAGGACCUGGAUGUCCAUAUUGGAUCCUACAUAUUCUACGAAGAUCUUAUCGGUUGAACCUCUAUGCCAAGGAUUCAUAUAAUCCCGUAAGCCAUUCCCUUUGUCCUUUGGUAUGUUACUUUCCCGAAAUUUGAUCGUCAGUAUCUCUAUACCUAUUUCAAUCUCGUUACCGGCAAGUCUCUUUACUCGUUCCGUAAUACAAGAUCCCGUGAGUAACUCUUUAGUCACAUUUCUUGCAAGGCUUAUAUGUGAUGUUGUAUUACCGAGUGAGCCCCGAGAUACCUCUCCGUCACACCGAGUGACAAAUCCAAGUCUUCAUCCAUGCUAACUCAACGGACACCUUCGAAGAUGCCUAUAGAGUACCUUUAUAGUCACCGAGUAACGUUGCAACAUUUGAUACACACAAGGCAUUCCUCCGGUGUCAGUGAGUUACAUGAUCUCAUGGUCAUAGGAAUGAAUACUUGACAUGCAGAAAACAAUAGCAACAAAAUGAUAGGAUCAUAUGCUACGUUCGUAGUUUUGGUCUUGUCCAUCACAUCAUUGUCCUAAUGAUGUGAUCCCGUCAUCAAGUGACAACACUUGUCUAUGGCUAGGAAACAUUAACCAUCCUUGAUCAACAGGCUAGUCAACUAGAGAAUCACUAGGGACAUAGUUUUGUCUAUAUAUCCACACAGGCAUUUAUGUUUCCAUUCAAUAUAGUUAUAGCAUGGACAAUAAAAGAUUAUAUUGAAACAGGAAUUGUAAUUAUAAAUAUUUCAUUAUUGUCUCUAGGGCAUAUUUCCAACGCUUAUUACUUCCCAAUUCCUUCCUCUAGGCCUAAAUAAUGGUGAAGUGUCAUGUAGUCGACGUUCACAUGACACCACUAGAGGACAGACAACAUAUAUCUUAUAAAAAUAUCGAACGAAUACCAAAUUCACAUGAUUACUUGUAACAAUACUUAUCCUAUGUCCUCAGGAAUAAACGUAACUACACACAAAGCAUAUUCAUGUUCAUAAUUAGAGGAGUAUUAAUAAUCAUUAAGGAUUUGAACAUAUAAUCUUCCACCAAAUAAACCAACUAGCAUCAACUACGAGGAGUAAUCAACACUACUAGCAACCCACACGUACCAAUCUGAGGUUUUGAGACAAAGAUCGGAUACAAGAGAUGAACUCGGGUUUGGAGAGGAUAUGGUGUUUAUGGAGAUUGACCCCCUCUCGAUGAGAGGAUCGUUGGUGAUGACGAUGGAUUUGAUUUCCCCCUCCAGGAGGGAAGUUUCCCCGGCAGAAUAGCUCCACGGGAGCUCUAGAUUGGUUAUGUCGAAGUUACGCCUCAAGACGGUGGCGCCUCGUUCUGAAAGGUCUGAUAUGAUUUUUUCCAGGUCAAAACCCUUCAUAUAGCAGAAGAUGGGCACCGGAGGCCUGCCAGGGGGCCCACAAGCCUGCAUGGCGCGGCUAGGGGGGUAGGUCACGCCCCCUAGCUUGUGACCUCCUGGUGGGUCCCCUCUGGUAUUUCUUUCGCCCAUUAGUUUUUAUAUAUUCCAAAACAAUUCUUCGUAACGUUUCACGACUUUUGGAGCUGUGCAAAAUAGGUCUCUCAGAUUUGCUCCUUUUCCAGUCCAGAAUUCCAGGUGCCGGCAUUCUCCCUCUUCAUAUAAAUCUUGUAAAAUAAGAGAGAAAAAUGCAUAAGUAUUGUACCAUAAUGUGUAUUAACAGCCCAUAAUGCAAUAAAUAUUGAUAUAAAAGCAUGAUGCAAAAUGGACGUAUCAAGCAGCAUGUUCAUCAGUUGCACGUUCUUCAUCUUCAUGAGCCGGGUCUAUAGUGUAUCUGGCCUGAGGAAUUGAUGCUUGCGCUGGGACUUCAACCCUGCUGUUGUACUCAGCAAUGGCGUAAGUAGCAGCCUUGACAAAACGCACUUUGACGCCCUUACUUUCAGCUUGAAGACUUGUGUAUUUGUUAGUGAGGGUUUUCAGCUCAUCUUGAGUGGCUACAAGUUGCUCUGGCGUCAAGGUUAGAAGAUUUUGUUGCAAAAACUUCUCCUUUUGAACCUUUUCUCUCUGAGCUUGCUUGGCUUGUUGAGCCUUCCAUUUUUUUUGUUGAUGAAUGAGGUCACCAUGUGACUGGGUCCGGGUGCAAGGUGCAAGUCAUCAAUGGGUGUGUUGGGAUCUUUGUACCAAAGAUCGAAGAAAUCCAGUAUCACCUUCGGAUCCAGUGCGAGAGGAAUGGUGGAACCCUUAGCUUGUGCAACCCUUUCUUGGUUGUUUCUGAUGAUGGCUUGAAGGGUUUCCUCAUCAUAUUCUGUUAGGACUGGGCCUAAUUCCUUGCCCAACAGUCGUCUUUGUCUUCAAUAUGCCACUUGAGGAUUUGUGGGUAGUACCUGAGGCUGAUGGUUUUGAGGGAAUUGAGGUCCAAGUUGGUUGCUCACUGGACUAGGGCUGCAGAGGGGGUGAAGACUUUGCUGCAGUUGUGGACUUUUCAGCCAUAGUUGAUUCUACGUGAGGAAUUUGUUGUUUGGACAUUGUUAUUGAGGACUUUGGUUUGACACCAGAUUUCUUCACCAGUGCCUUCUUGGGAGGUUGUUGUGUUGUAGAAGCCUCGGCAACACAGGAGGGGGCAGCAUCAGCUGCAGCAGUAGAAUCCUCAGUGAGCUUGUUUGGUGCUUUGUUGUCAUUUUUCCUCAGUUUUGCCAAAUACUUGGCCUUCUCAUCAGGAUAGUCUUCAAUUGUGAGCAUGCUUGAGGGAUGGGCAAUUUGUUGCUGUUCCAGAGGUGGUCUGGAGCAAGGAGGCUUGACGGCAAACUUCCUGGCAUAUUUAGGAGUGACAUACAUGUAUCUCUUCCACUCCUGAGCCCAUCUCCUUUCAAUCUUUUGAAGCCUGAUCAAGCUUACUUUGAGAAAAUACAUAGGAAAGCUUCUCAUGAUCAGCCAAGAGUGUACCAUAACGAUCUUGAAGACUAUCAAAUCUAAACUAAAGACUUUGAGCAUCUUUGGUGAGGAUUUGAGUACGAUUCAUUUCAUCAUUCAACAGAUAAUCGCUUUUGUCUAGUAGUUUCUGAAGCUUUUCAAUAGCACUUUGUUGCUUAGUGGAAAUGUUAGCAAGUUUAUAGUAACUAGGUUUUUUAUAAUCAUCAGGUUAACAGUCACUAGAAUCAGAGGAUGUGUGGCUUGGUACCUUUGAACCUUUUGCCAUGAAGCAAUAGGUGGGAGCAAAGUCAUCAUCAAACUCAUCCGUGUUGUUGAUGUUGUCAUUUUCUUCAAGGUUGAAGAUGGACUUGCUCACAAAUGUGGUAGCUAGUGCAAGACUUGCCACACCAGACUCUGACUCCACUUCUGAACCUUCAUCUUCCUCACAUUCCUCAGAUUCUGCUUCAGAAUCCAUCUCCUUGCCAAUGAGUGCCCGAGCCUUUCUGAAAUUGAUCUUCUUUUGCAAUGAGGACUUUGAAGAUGAAGACUUUGAGGAUUUCUUCUUUUUUCCUUGAGUCGUCAGAGCUUUCAUCAUUGUACUUCUUCUUCCUUGAUUACUUCACCCAGGGAGGACAAUCAACAAUGUAGUGACUAAAUUUCUUGCAUUUAUGACAGGUUCUCUUCUUGUAGUCCUCACGUGAAGAUUAUGAUUUCCUCAUAUCUCUUCUUGAAGACUUUCUGAAUUGGCCACGCUUUAUGAACUUCUAGAAUUUCCUCACGAGCAUAGCAAGUUCGUGACCAAGUUCUUUAGGAUCAGCCAGACUGCAGUCAGAUUCUUCUUCUUCAGAUCAGGAAACAUCCUUUGCCUUCAAUGCAUGAGGUCUUGAGUAGCUUGGUCCAUAAAGGUAUCUCUUCUCUUCUAGUUGAAAUUCAUGAGCAUUGAGUCUCUCAAAUAUAUCAGCACGAUCAAGCAUCUUGUAGUCUCUUUGUUCUUGGAUCAUCAGAACCAGUGUGUCAAAUGAUGGAUCAAGAGAUCGUAGCAAUUUCUUCACGACAUCAUGGUCUGUGAUGUCUCUGGCUCCAAGAGCCUGAAGCUCAUUGGAGAUGUCAAUGAGGCAAUCAAAGGUAUCUUGACAGCUUUCAUUAUCCAGUCUCUUGAAGCGGUUGAAGAGAUUGCGAAGAACAUCAACUCGAGAGUCACGAUGUGUGGAGCUCCCUCAUUGACUUUGGACAGGCUUUCCGAGAUUAAUUUCACAGAGCCCAAAGCACUCACUCUAACAUACUGUCCUUUGCUCACAUGGCCACAUAUGAUAGUAUUCGCUUGUGAGUUGAGUUGCUUGAAUUUCUUCACAUCAUCAGCAAUGAUAGUUGAAGUGACACAGGGAACACCAUUUUCCACAAUGUACUAGAGAUCAUUGUCAAUUGCUUGAAGGUGCAUUUGCAUCUUGUUCUUCCAGUAGGGGAAGUUCUUUCCUUCGAAGGUAGGACAGCGUGCAGUAACCUUGAUCAUACAUGUGGUUGACAUAACUAAAACUCCACGCGGUUAAACCAAAAUCACAUAGAACAAGGGAGUACCUUGCUCUGAUACCAACUGAAAGUGUGUUAUAUCGACUAGAGGGGUGUGAACAGGCCAUUUUUACAAAUUCAUCACUGAGGAAAUUCCUAGUGAGGAAAGUCCUCAGUCAUGAACUGAGUGUAGUGGAAAUAGUACUAAGACAGAUGUGCAAAAGUGACUACAACAAAGUACUCAGAGUGAAUUGAUAGGUUUAGUUUGCACAGGUCAUGUAUACAGGAUAAGCAGGUGAUGAAUAACUAAGGUGAAGAAUUUGAGGUGAGAAAUUAGGAGAAAGUCUUCACUCAAAUUCUUCAAAUAGUGGAGAUCAAAGUCUUCAACCUGAAAUUGAGGAAAUGGAAAAGGUUGAAGAAAUGGAAGCAGUAGCUCGAUGAAGACAGUUGUUAAUGACCCAAUUCCAACUGUUGUGAUAGUUGUACGUAUGGUUUGGAGCGGCUUGGUAUUGAAAUCAAAGGACACACAGUUCCGGGACACACAGUCCCUACCAUAUUCUCCUUGAGCUAAGGACACACAGUCCUCCCGCAACACUCGUAGUAAAUCUUUAGGGUAGACUUCCAAACCUUCACAAACUCGAUCACCCGGCGAUCCACAAUUGAUUGUUGCAUGCUCUAGACCAUGACGCCUAACCGUAUGGAGGAUGCACAGUCCUCAAAGGUAAAAAGUGUCGGUUCCACACAGUAACAAUCUCUUCAGUGAUGCUCAAUCACUUUGGGUUUUGGGUUUUGGUUUGGGUGUUUGGGGUUUUUCCUCACUUGAUGAUUUUCGCUCAAGGUCCUCGAGGAAUUGGGUUGCUCUAAAUGACAUGUGUCAUAUUCUCUCGGAGCAGCCAACCAGCCAGUGGUUGAGGGACCGGCUAUUUAUACCCGAGAGCAUCCUACAUUAUAUGACAUUAUUCCUUAAUAAAUUGACCGUUGGGUGGAUAAGAUUGGGGAGAAGUGGCGAGCAGCGUGGCAACGGUCGGAACUUUCAAAUGUGAAAGUCCUCAUGUCUCUCAUGUUCCUCACUUUGAGGAUCUGGUAGGUAUAGGUUUGAGUUGAGCAUCAUGAGGAAAUUAUUUCCUUAGUUUUACCUUGACCCCCUUUAGCAGUACGGUGUUCCUAUGACUCAAGAAUGAAGAAAAUGAAACAGAAAGAGUAAAUCUUCAAGCUUCAAAGUCUUCACACCAUUUUAUUCGGGACACACCGAAUUCCUCAUCUUCAAUGUGUUCAUGAGGAAUAUCAAUUUAUUUGCAAUUUCUUUGCGAUCAAAGUAUUCAAGGAAUGACCAAAGUCUUCACCCGAAGACAUACAUUUUUAGGGGUCGGUAUUCAUCGAAUAACUCAAACUCCUCAGCGACUUAUAGAACUUGUGUACACUCACAAACAUAUCAGUCUCCUAACCUAUAAGUCUUCAAUCCACCAAAAUCACUAAGGGGCACUAGAUGCACUUACAAAAAGCUAGAUGAAAAUUUACUACAACAAGCAGCCCAAGAAGUAAUACUACCUUUAGGCAAAGCAAAAAUCCAUUCCUUAGCUUUUCCAUUCAAAGAGAAAGGAAAUAAGUGAUGUUCCAAAGCAUUUGGGUCAUACUACUUUAUGCGUGUCUUGUUGCACAAUUCAAUAAAAUUAUGUAACUGCAUACUUUCAUCUUCAGAAGCAGAGCCUCCAAAUUUGUCAUGUUGAACCAUGUAAACUAGGUUCGAUUUGAUCUCAUAUUUUGCACGUGCAACAUCAGGUUACGCUAUUGGUUCAAGCAUAAAAUUGUUGCUAGGAGUAGCAAAACUCCCAAGAUUAUGACCCGUAGUAAAUUUUUGGUAUUUAUAACUUAAAAAUAUGCAACAAUAUAAGAAUUAAACUAAAACUGAAAUACUAAGAAAGAACUGGAAAUUAACUUUAACAAAGAAAUCUAAACACAAAGACUAGGAAUACUAAACUCCUCGAAAGUGCUAUUCUGAGCUCGAGCUCAAAUGCUCUUAGAUGAACAAUAAAUCCGAAAAAAUAGUAAAAUGUUUCAAAAAAUUAUAAAAUUUUGUUACAAAAAACAUUUAUGUUUUUCCUACAUGCAUGCAAAAAUUUAUAUCGGAAUCACAUUCCUGGAGGUGUAGACAAAAAAAAUUGAUGCUCCAAAAUGCUUUCAAAAACACUAUUUUUUAAGCAUUGAUUUUGUUUUUUUGGCCCACCCCUCCACAAAUGUUAUUUCAUCAUGAAAUUUUGCACGCAUGUAGUAAUCAUAUCAAUGUUUCGUUUCCCAAAAGUUCAGAAUUUUUCGAUUUUCUUACUAUAUUUAUCGAUUUUACUAUCCAUCCAGGAGUAGAUGAGCUCGAGCUCGUAUACUCUCCUUUUUAUUGAUCUGAUAUUGGAAGAAGAAAGGAUAUCACACACCUAUUUCCCAGAGGUGACCCUAAGUAUCAAACCCACGAGAGGAAGAUUCCCUUAAACCAAAUGUACCUAGCAAGCUUUUGUUGAAGUGUCAAAUCAAGCUUUUGACCGGAUCAACAAGCAAACUGUGAUUCAAAAACUUAUAAUAAAAAUAAGGUACGUGGAUGAGGUCUUAAUUCUUACAACCCAUCAAGAGGUGCUUGCUUUGUAUCGGAGGGGGUAUGUCCAAAUAACAUCUUGAUGAGCACGAGUCGUGCAUCAAGAACCAGUUGUCCUAGUGAAGUCCCUAUCAGUCUUUAUAUGAUUAUGGAUCAUAAUUUCCUAUUAGUGUUUAUAUGAUUAUGGAUCAUUAUUCCACUUUAUGAUACAAUUCUUGUGCCAUUUCUCUCUGAAUUUACAAGGUCGACCAUAAAGAGGGAAAUUGCACGAAACUCAAAUUAUGGACCGAAAAAAAGAAAAGGCUGAAAAUUCACUAGACUCCAAAUGGCCUAAAACUUCACGAGGAAGUUUUCUGGAAUAUAUAUGAAUUUAUGGAGAACAAAUAUACUAUAGGGGGGCUACGUAUUGGUGCCAAGCCAACAUGAAAGUGUGUUAUAUCGACUAUUGUGACCGUUUGGUGGAUAAGAUCUGUGAGGUGGCGCGUGUCGCGGCAACGGUCAGAACUUUCAACUCUGAAAGUCCUCAUGUCUCUCAUAUUCCUCACUUGAGGCUUUUGUAGGAUUAGGCUUGGGUUGAGCAUCAUGAGGAAAUUCAUUCCGUAGUAUUACCUCAACCCCCAUUAACAGUACGGUGUUCCUAAGACUGAAGAGUACAAAAAACGAAACAGAAAGAGUAAGUCUUCACGCUUCGAAGUCUUUAGGCAGUUUUUCUUCACGACACACUGAAUUACUCAUCUUCAAUAUCUUCAUUAGGAUUAUCAAUUUGAUCGCAAUUUCUUCGUGAUCAAAGUCUUCAAGCUUAGACCAAUUUCUUGAGCCGAAGACAUACAUUUUCAGGGGUCGAUAUCCAUCAUAUAACUCAAACUCCUCAGCGACUUAUAGAGCCUGUGUACACUUCACAUUAGUUACUUAACCUAUAAGUCUUCAAACCACCAAAAUCACUAAGGGCACUAGAUGCACUUACAAUCUCCCGCUUUUUGGUGGUUGAUGACAAUUAGGUUAAGUUUUCAACGGGGAUAAAAAAUAUGAACUGUAAAUACUGAGUUUGAGGAAUUUGAAAUCAAGAUAGUGAGAGACUUCCCCUGAAGAUGUGCAUAUUUUGAGGAAUUUGCUUUUCACAGCAGAUGCACAUUGAUGAUUUAUAUCAUGGAGAUCUCCCACUGUAUCUUGUAAAUCAUGCAUACAAUUGCCAUAUAAAGUGAGGAAUUUGAGAAUGCAUGAUGAGGAAUGGUGUCUGACAAAUUUCAGCAUGCCUGCAUUAAUAUACUUUGAGGAAUAAGCAUGCGAAGAAAAACGUUCAAAAGAGUCAGAGCACCAUCGGGCUUAAGUUACAACUCAUUACAUAAAACACUUCAGAAGAACCAAGAGUUUGUAACUUAAUAAUGUUUAUAAGCCACAAAAUAGAUCCCGCUUGAAGACUAACUCAGAUUUCUCCCCCUUUAUCAUCAAGUGACGGAAAGGGACAAAACAGAGGACUAACGCCCUUUGAAGAAAUUCACUUCUUGGCUGAUGAAGAGGCAUGAGGAUUCUUGGCGACGGGCUUCUUCCUUGGACCAGUUGUAGUGUCUUUUGGUUCUUCAUCUGACUCAGCAGUGCGGAAUGAAGAAAAAGAACUGUCCUCAAGGUCAUGAACUAGAAUUGGCUUGAGUUUCUUCUUGGGAGGCCACGACCAGUCGAAGUCUUGAUUAAACUCCAAUUCCUCAAGUUCCUCUUGAGUCUUCAGAUGAGCCAAGGUGGCCCAGGUUCAAUCAAACACCUCAUGAAGAUAAUAGUGAUUUUUCCUCAUUGCGUUCCGAGUCUCGUUGAGGGUUUUCACAAUGGCACUGAAUUGUCGUUUAACCCAUUUGUGAUUGUGAUCGACCUUCUGAUGAAGACUGAGGAGUAGCUCUCUGUUAUUCAUCACUCUGGGGGCAGUUGGGCUUGGAGGAUCUUGGGUAGCAGUGUCAUCAUAUGAAGAAUAUGACUCUGCUUGGCGAGACUGGCCAUCAAGGGGCCAAUUUCCUUCAUCAAUCACUGAUUUUCCUUUGCCUUCAACAGGCUCAAAUGUUUUCUUGAUGAUUCUGAUUGGCGGUAGAUAUCGGAUGUGAUUCAAAAAAUCUACAUGGUAGUUCAUGCCUGACCUGCUUCUGAUGAAUCUCAUGAUCCAUGGUGCAUAAAUCUUCAUUUCAAAAGGGGGCAGUGCGUUAUCAGCCAAAGUCCUCAGGAAGAAAUCAUGAAGAUUCAUUGGUAGGCCAUAGAUGACACUGAAGAGGAUAUUCUUCAUGAUGCCUACGACAUCUUCUUCAUCAUCGUGCCCUUUGAUAGGAGCAAUGACAUUUGCCAGGAUUCUAUAGACUGUUCGUGGUUCAUACCUCAAGUCUUGUACUAUAAAUCGAGUUCGUGGAGGUUGGUCCUUGGCCAAAGGCUUCAUGAGGACUUCCAUUAGUCUGUUGGGCAGUUCACUUUCAUCAUACAUCAGCAUUGCAUCCUCUCAGGGAAUUGAGAUUGGAAUAGCUCAAAGCAAUUCAGUGGCACGCGCUUUGUAGUGCGUGCACUGAGUCAUCCAAUCAAAAACCCAAGUGUUGACAUCCUUUGGGUCACCAGAGAUGUGCAGAGUGGCGUAGAACUGAAGAAUGAUGUCGUUGUUCCAGUCACCAAUGUCAGUGCAGAGAGGCAGUAAUCCAUCUUUGUGAAGAACAUUGAGGACUGGAGUGAAGCAAGGUAUUUCCUCCAUAUCACAGUGAGGAAUAUGUUUAUGCUAAAAUAUCUUGUUCCUCCCACAAAGCACUAAAUCAUAGUAGUUGAGUUGGUUCCUUGUCCAAAACUUCUUGUGCCUGAUGUGAAGCUUGUCAUAUAGAUUCUCGCCAGUAAAGUACAUGCGUUCUUCAUAGAAUGCCUCCUUUUGAAACUUUGGCCUUUUGGAGAAAGGCUGAUUGUGCUGCGGUUGAAGAUUAUGUUGUUGUUCUUGAGGAGGAGCCACUAUCAUUGUUGUUUCUUUGUUUACCACAACAAUAGCAGUUUCAGUGUUUGGGACAGGAGCAUUUUCUUCAUUCUGAGCAUUUUCAUCAGGUUGAGGAUUUUCCUCAGCUUGAGGAAUUUGCUUGUUGGAGGAGGCAGUUGUAGCAUUUGUCGCUGCAUUGUCUUCAGCCGAUGUGGCUGAUUCUUGAGCAGAUUCCUCACAGAAGGUCUUCCCAUCAUAGCAUGUGAAGAUUUUUGUUGCAGCAAGAUUCGGCGGAAUAUGAGUUGACCUCGGUGAGCGAUGAGUUUCUUCCAGAAGUCAUCAUGAAUCACUCGAGUGUUGCACCCAGUUUCAUCAUCACCCACACAUUCUUCAGAGGUCUUUUGAGGAAUGGUGGAUUGAGGAAUAUCAUGAAUCAGUACUUCCUCAUCUAUGAUUUCUUCAUCUUCCGUGUCUUUCAUUUCUUCAUCAUCUUCACGAAUGGUGUAGUCAAUUCCAAAGGGAACGAUCAAGUAAGAUGGAGCUACAUUCACAGGAGUAGCAUCCACCGGGGCAGUUGAAGAUUUUGACUGAGUGACCUUUUGGCGCUUGGCCUCUCAGGUUUCUGAGGUCAUUGAAGCUUUUCCUUCUUUGCUUCUUUCUCAGCAGCUUUGGUCUUCUUCACGUCUGAUGCAGACGGAAUCAUCUUCUUCACCUUUGAGGGUUGAGGUGAAGGAAUAGUUUCAUCAGGAGUUGGUGCAGAUUCAGUCCUGGCAGUUUCCUCAGCUGGAGCUGUGUCUUCAGCUGGAGCAGUUUCUUUAGCUAGAGUGUCUUGAGGAAUUUUCUUCAGCACCAGGUUCAUCAGUUUCAUCUUCCUCUGUCAACUGAACAGUGUAGCUUGCCUGAGGUGAUGUUUGCUACGUUGGAGGGGUUAUUCUCUUGUUGUAUUCAUCAACAGCAGUAGAUGCAGCCUUGAUGAAAUUCACCUUGACGCCUACACGAUCAGUGAGAAGACUUGUAUACUUGUCUGUUAGUGUUUUGAGUUCAGCUUGAGUUGAUACAAGUGCUUCAGGCGCCAGUUUGAGGAUAUUUUGUGUGAGGAAUUUCUCCUUUUUGAUUUUAGCAGCCUUUGCUUGCUUGGCUUGCUGCUCUUUCCACUUUGCCUCAUUGAUGAAAGUGGCUACCAUGUGGCUUACACCAGGGGGAAGCUUCAAGUCAUCAACAUGAGUGUUUGGAUCUUCAUACCAGAGGUUGAUGAAUUGCAACAGAACCUUCGGGUCCAUGGCAAGAGGAAAAGAGCUGCCUGAGGCUUGAGCAACUUGUUCCUGCUUGUUUCUGGUGAUAGCUUGAAGAGUGUGCUCAUCAAAUUCCUCACUCCCUUCUGAUGCAGAAGGAACGUUGAUGACUUUGCUAGGACUAGGCUUGAUGCCCCUUCCAGCAGUCAUUUUAGUCUUCAAUAGAGGUGGUGAAGACUUUGUAGCUUAACUCAUGGCAGACGGCAUUGAGGAACUUGAUUGAGUAGGCUGAUGCUUAAUGAGCUGCUUCUGUUGAGGCUGUGAGGAUUGUGGUCCUGUUGAAGAUUUUGUCACUGGUGCAGCCUUUUGAGGCAAUUGCUCUUUUGGCACUGAGGCCAUUGGUUUCUUUGGCACGGUCUUCUUCUGAGGAAUGCUGUAGCAGAGGCCUCAGCAGCUGAAGAGGUGGCGGCAGUGGCAGCAGCAGCAGCAGAGUCAUCAUUGAAUUUCUUCACGACAGCUUCUGCCUUCUAUGUAACUUAGACAAAUAUUUGUCUUUCUCAUCAGGGUAAUCCUCAAUAGUUUCAACGCUUGAGGGAU
This 43493-nucleotide long non-coding RNA is filed under the name Hordeum vulgare. Its description in RNAcentral is "long non-coding RNA (HVUL_LNC000527)". The record is from RNAcentral. Lineage: Eukaryota; Viridiplantae; Streptophyta; Magnoliopsida; Poales; Poaceae.